UACGGAGGGAGCUAGCGUUGUUCGGAAUUACUGGGCGUAAAGCGCACGUAGGCGGCUUUGUAAGUUAGAGGUGAAAGCCCGGGGCUCAACUCCGGAACUGCCUUUAAGACUGCAUCGCUUGAAUCCAGGAGAGGUGAGUGGAACUGCGAGUGUAGAGGUGAAAUUCGUAGAUAUUCGCAAGAACACCAGUGGCGAAGGCGGCUCACUGGCCCGGUACUGACGCUGAGGCACGAAAGCGUGGGGAGUGAACAGG
Molecule: ribosomal RNA, 253 nt
Filed under: uncultured bacterium
Lineage: Bacteria
Description: partial 16S ribosomal RNA
Rfam family: Bacterial small subunit ribosomal RNA
Source: RNAcentral